AGGUGCCCGAGCAGACGCGGAUCCUAAGCCAGGACCACCAGCCAGCUGUUUCUCAAAUCUUCGACCCGGAAGAGGUGGCAGACAUCACCAACUACAAAUGAGGAGGACAUGGAGGCCCAGACACCAGAGGCUUGUCCCAGGCACCAGACGCGCAGAGCGGCGCUGUGACCUCACACAACAACUGUGUGGCACACGUACAGGACUGUCAGCUGGUUCUGAGUCAGUUGUACCUACAGGAGGCCCCACGAUGCUCCGUGUGCACCGGGAGAUCUGAAACCUUUCAGCACAUUUGGACAAUAAAAGGAAGGCAAGGGCUCUGGCAGAGACGGGAUGCAUGUGCCAGGGCUCUGGGUCUAUUCUGACCCUCAGCACUGACCCUGGACACCUCCCCUGGACACAGCCCCUCAGACAUCAGGACCCUGACCGCCAGCCUGGCUCCUCAGCCCCAGACAGACACCAUUCAAAGGACUGCAGCUUAGCCAAACAGGGACGGACUCACAGAUGGAGAGCAGGUGACAGCUUGUGGGACGGUGGAGGUUACGGGAUGGAGGGAUUGAUCGAAAAGGAAAGAGGACGCAUGGACAACAAUGUGCUGAUUGCUGGGGAGAGGGGCGUAUAAGGGGACUAAAUGGUAAUGGGAGAAAUACAAUAAAGCUCAAGUAAAAAUGAUUAAAAAACACUAUUGUUGCUUAGAAAUCCAGAAUUUAGCAUGACACAUGUGACUCAAAGGAGGCUCACCAGAAGCAGAGGCACCCACCCAGGAGGCUCCUGAGGCUUCUCCUGGAGCAAAUGUGUCUCAGACUCACCUGAGGGGGUCCCACCAGGACAGGGCCUAGCGCACAUGGUUCACAGGGCCCGUCUAUUCGGCGGGACCAGACCCACUUAGAGAAGGCCGCCCCGAGCGGGGACGGGCCGUCAGCAGAAUGCUGUGGUGAAGCUGCAAGCUCCAGGACACCUGCCCAGGUCACAGCUGUUACGAACAUUCACGUCACAAGGCAAAGGGGACGUCCAACUGCCCCGUUUUCUCAGGUACUUCCCUCCCUAGAGACACUGCAGGGACAGAACAGCUGCACCUAAAUCCCCCACAGAUGUCACACUGCUUAUCUGGGUGGUGUGGGUGUGGGUGUUUACCAUAAAACUGCCGGCAUUAGAAAGUCAACUAGAGAUGGGAGCAGGCGAGAACUAUGACCCCCAGGGCAGAGGCCUCAGCUGGAAGAACCCAGAGUGGUCCCGGCCGCACACACUCUGUGGGGCUCUGCCAGCCUUGGGUGAGGCCUCCUCAGGGCCAGAGUCUCCAGCCCCCUGGGCACUGGAGCACAGCAGCCAGGAUGCCGGCCAGGGGUUCAGAUCUGGCCCACUGCUCCCUCCAGGCACCCGGGCCCUCACCGCCAGCUGUCUCCUCAGCCACCGCCCUGCUGGCUCCCAGGUGGCCUCUGCUCUCUUCCUGCGCCCGGCCCUGCCAGCAGAUCAGUGCAGAGGCCACCCUUCCUGGGCUCUGGGGCUGAAGGGCAGGCCCUCGGCUCCUCUGCUCCCCAACGCCCUCUCCCCGAGGACUGCCUGGCACUCAGAGCCCCUCCAUCUCCCGCUUUGAAAAGCCUUCCUCAGACCACCUACCGACAAUGAGUGGCUGGUUGGCCCAGCUCAGCCUUCUGGAACCAUCCCCAUCCACCCAAGCUGACUUGCAAAAGCCGGCCAAGACACUGGAGGCCCAAUGCUGAGGAAACCAGAGCCCACAGGACCUGGGGGAGGCAGUGGGUACGCCCCUCACUUAGGUGCCUCGAGCCCGUGCCCACACACAUGACGAUGGCAUGUGGACUCUGGGGCAGUGUUCUCCGGGUCCAAGGCAUCCAGUUUCUUGCAAGAAACUUCAGUGACUGCACAGGCUCUGGUGCCCACAGUGGGAGCUGGCCCUCCAGGGCCAGUCCUAAGAGCAGCCGGGGGCUGGGAGUGGAGCAGGAAGAGGCAGCCGGGGAAGUGAGGAAGACUGGGGGCAGGCACCUCGAGGUCUCAGUGAGCCAGUGAGCCGGUGGGUAUGUGUAAGAGAGAAGCAAUAAC
This is a long non-coding RNA of Phyllostomus discolor (pale spear-nosed bat), 2055 nucleotides long. RefSeq lists it as uncharacterized. NCBI's taxonomy places the organism in Eukaryota, Metazoa, Chordata, Mammalia, Chiroptera, Phyllostomidae. The transcript is spliced from 2 exons. The record is from RefSeq and is a predicted model, not a curated record.